AUUGCUGUUUGGCCUUUUGGUUAAGAUCAAGUGUA
Molecule: small nuclear RNA, 35 nt
Filed under: Cervus elaphus hippelaphus
Lineage: Eukaryota; Metazoa; Chordata; Mammalia; Artiodactyla; Cervidae
Source: RNAcentral